UGUGCAGGUGGGGUAAUAAGUCAGUGGUGAAAGCCCCCGACUCAAUCGGGGAACUGCCAUAGAUACUGUUAUUCUUGAGUGUGGUUGAGGCGGAUGGAAUAUGACAUGUAGCGGUGAAAUGCUUAGAUAUGUCAUAGAACACCGAUCGCGAAGGCAGUCCGCCAAACCAUUACUGACACUGAAACACGAAAGUGCGGGGAUCAAACAGGAUUAGAUACCCUGGUAGUCCGCACCGUAAACGAUGAUCACUCGUUGUUGGCGAUACACAGUCAGCGACUAAGCGAAAGCAUUAAGUGAUCCACCUGGGAAGUACGACCGCAAGGUUGAA
Molecule: ribosomal RNA, 328 nt
Filed under: uncultured bacterium
Lineage: Bacteria
Description: bacterial SSU rRNA
Rfam family: Bacterial small subunit ribosomal RNA
Source: RNAcentral